ACUUCUUUGUGGUUACUUUAUUUGGAUGGUACUGCCAUAAAGGAUCUACCCCCAUCAUUUAAGAGUUUAUUCGGCCUUUCCAUAUUGUCUUUACAUAACUGCAAAAAGCUCUUAAUUUUUCCGAACGUUAUUUGUAGUUUGUCAUCUCUUAAAAUUCUGGAUGUAUCUGAUUGCCUAGCACUUGGUGGAAUUCCAGACAUGAAUGGUGAGGGGUAUCUGGAACAAUUGUAUAAAGGUGGAACUGCUAUCAAAUUCACUAAGUUUUUCGCAGUGCCAGAGCUUUGCUCAAAUGAUGCUUGCUCUACAUAAGAAAUGUUUAUUACCAAUGAUGACUCUAUUGGGGCCUUCUAUAUUGGUUAUGAUGACAAAGUCUACUACAUUAGAAGCUUGAAUCAUGAAGAAAGUAAUUUGCAAACAAAAGGCUAUGACGUUAAAAAUAAUUGUUUUAACCCCAAGUUAAUGUGUGGCUCUUCCCUGGGAGCUGAAAUUUGAGAGUGUUUCAACAUGAGAAGUUUGGGUUCUCAUGUAACACUUCAAAUCCAUCCAAACUUAGAUAAUAAUAGUAAGGAAGGGAUAUUUUUCAUUUUGCUUUUUAUGAAGUUGAUGAUGAGGUAGAGAAUUCAGAUCCAAGGAUUUUCAAAGGCAGUCAUCCUACUGAAGGCCAGUUUAUUGAGUUUGUUUAUCAUUUUUAGACUAAUGAAGGUCCUCUAAAAGAACCCUUAGUCCUUCGUGCCUCCAAAGAUCACCCUUCUGUAGGGCCAUUUGGGUUUGGGCUGUAUCUACCAGCCGAGUGGUUUUUGGAGCAAUCAAAUAAUUUGGAUGGAUGGAGCUACAUUGGAGCAUUAGUUAAAACAAGUAGCUCGAGCGUGAAGGUGAAAGAGUAUGGGGUGCGCCUUCUAUAUCAGCAUCCUUUUUCCGAAUUAUAUAAUACCUUUAUUCCUUAUAUUGGUUUAAAAUUAGAAAUUAGGCUCAUCUUUGUUGUUGUUUGGAAAUGGGUAGUCAUAUUGUUGUACCUUAUCGUUUCUAACGCGUAGUAAGGAAUUAAAAUGUGUGGUGGGUCAGUACUCCAGGCCAUGUUGUGUAAAUGGAUGCAAUUCAUGUAUAUAUUGAGGCUUUCAUCAAUUAUUAAUGCUAGCUAUUGGACAAGACGUUUGAGAAUGCAGAAGUGUGAGAGUUCAAGUGCUC
This is a long non-coding RNA of Juglans microcarpa x Juglans regia, 1185 nucleotides long. RefSeq lists it as uncharacterized. Lineage: Eukaryota; Viridiplantae; Streptophyta; Magnoliopsida; Fagales; Juglandaceae. The record is from RefSeq and is a predicted model, not a curated record. The transcript has 2 exons.